Theobroma cacao (cacao) is the source of this 253-nucleotide non-coding RNA. NCBI's taxonomy places the organism in Eukaryota, Viridiplantae, Streptophyta, Magnoliopsida, Malvales, Malvaceae. The record is from RefSeq and is a predicted model, not a curated record.
CAUCCGAGUGCGAAUAAAAAUUGUCAUUGCUAUCAGUGCAACAACAACAAGCUGCAUAUAGAAAGCAUCCAAGGCCAUAGUUCUUCAUUUAGCUUCUGCCCUGCGUGAAACUUCUUGAAUGCAACUAUGAACUUGUCUACAGAAACAUAACAAUGAGGUAUAUUAAAAAAUGGAUACAUACUUCUUGGAGGAAGUCAGCAACGCCUUUUCGUGGAGGGCACCUAAAACCGCAAUGUUCAAAGAACUCUUGAAC